This is a long non-coding RNA of Haplochromis burtoni (Burton's mouthbrooder), 1894 nucleotides long. RefSeq lists it as uncharacterized. The transcript is spliced from 2 exons. Lineage: Eukaryota; Metazoa; Chordata; Actinopteri; Cichliformes; Cichlidae. The record is from RefSeq and is a predicted model, not a curated record.
UUUUCCCAGUAAUUUUUUUUAAGCAAAAUUAUAACAAAGUUAGCCCUUUCUGUCAAUAAAACAUAACGUCUUUGGUUGGAACCAGUGCUUAAACAAUUGAAAACACAAACUUUGUCAUGAAACCUGUGAUGUUUAGCAGUUUUUUUGCAAGAAGAUAAUCAUAUUAGCCUUUUCUGGAGCUAUACGGCAUCGCUCUUGGCUGAUGGCAUGCCCAGCACAAGAGAAAACUCUUUCAGAAGGCGUUGAUGAGGCUGGGACACACAAGUAUUUUUCUGAUAGGGCAGAUAAAUUGGGGAGUGUAUCCCUCUUACUCCACCACCAGGCCACAGGGUCUUGUCCAGAGGUAAUUCCUGGCAGUCUUUUGUAUAUUUGAAGCUCCUUCUGUACCUGCUCUGUGAUUGAGGGGACUCUACCCGCUUGAGAAGCAGCCUGUUGAAGCUCUCUGUCUUCAUCCUCAAACAGCUUUUCUAAGGGUGACUUCUGGACCUUACUUAGCUGAAAAACAACAAAAAAAGAUGUGUGAGGUUUGCAAAAUAAAUAAAGAUCACUUUUAGAAUGUAGUGGUUGUGUUAGAAAAAAUCUGAAAUUACAUAUUUUUCUGGCUUGUCCAUGUCAGCAUCAUCCACCUCGCUGUGUGCUUUGGGGUCCUCAGUGGGAGGCUAUGGACACACAGAUAGUAAAAGAGCAUUCCUUCAACAUAGAAACUACAUCAUGAUGCAAAAGGACAAGAUUGUACACACACAAUGAAAAUACCUGCGCAACUGCUGCUGUGGCAUUUGCAACUGCUGCCUUCUCCAACCUGUCCCAGAUGUCAGUAGCUGCCUCACCACCUAGCCUGCCUUUAAAACGUGGGUCCAUCAUCGUGGCCUCCUUCAGAAAUUUCUGAAGGUUUUCAUCCUUUAAGUAAAACAAGAUAUAACAUAGGAGCUGAUACUGAAAAAAGGUAACCCUAUUUUUCAUGCGCAUUGACAUUGUCUGCAAAUACCUGAUAUCUUUUCUGCAGACUACCCCAGACUUUCUCUUUUAUUGAAGAGGUGAAAACACUGUCUUCAUCACAUCGUCUGAAAUGUGCCUCCAGCUUGGCCAGGAUGGGGAUGAUUUGGCUGCAUGCUUCCUCAGCCGUUGAUCCAGAGCAGCUGCCUGGAUUGCAUCAAACUGCUCCAUAAAUCUCUCCACCAUUAGGAAGAGAGAAUUCCAGCGCGUCUUAACGUCAAGAAUUACAUUAUGCUCUGGCAAAUCUAAAGCACAGAUAGACACAAACAUAUUUUAAAUUACUAUAAAAAAGGUAAUAUGAAUAACAAUACUUCUUGAUAUGUAACUGCAUGCGCUACUUACUCAGGAUUCGCUGCUUUUCUCUGAGCACAGUUUUGCUCAAGGAUGAACGUUUGAGCCACACCACAACUGAACGGAUUUUGGCACACCAGCUGGAAACUGCAGGAAUGUCAUACACCUUUUGUGCGGCCAGGUUGAGGGUAUGAGCAAAGCAUCCCACUUUUAAAAAGUCCAAUUUUUUCAAAGCAACAUCCAUGUUGCAGGCAUUGUCUACAGUGGCAGCAAUUAUUUUCCCUCCCAAGUGAAAUUGCUCCAUAACGCUUGAUAUUUCUUUAGCGACAACUGGACCUGUUUGUGACUCAUAAACUGCUUCAGUGCUGAGCACAUUCUGCUUCAUUUUGCCUUUGUAGAUGUAGUGAACAGUCACUGUGAGGAAAUGGUCCUGAGCAAUACUGGUCCAUCCAUCACAGGUGAUAGCGACCUUGUUAACCUGUGCCAAAUUCUGGAUGAGGUUGCUUUUCUCCACGCAAUACCAAGCAGGUAUAAGUGUGUUGGAUAGAUCAUUCCUGGAUGGGGGCUGAUACCUCGGAUUAAGGGCAGAGGACAUCUCCCUGAAUUGAAA